UGGGGGAUAUUGCACAAUGGGGGGAACCCGUGAUGCAGCGACGCCGCGUGAACGAAGAAAUAUUUCGGUAUGUAAAGUUCUAUCAGCAGGGAAGAAAAUGACAGUACCUGACCAAGAAGCCCCGGCUAACUACGUGCC
RNAcentral lists this ribosomal RNA (138 nucleotides) under uncultured bacterium. RNAcentral describes it as "partial 16S ribosomal RNA". It matches the Rfam family "Bacterial small subunit ribosomal RNA", at positions 355 to 509 of the family's 1533-position model. The record is from RNAcentral.